CUUCCCUUGUCUUCUUCUCUCUCUUCUUCUUUUGAGGUCUUCUUUCCGUCCCUCAGUUUUCUUUCUCUCACGUUGCUUCAGCAUUUUUUCCUCCAGUCUUCCCCUCUUGCCGAUCUUCACCUUCAAGGACGGAGGCAGGGGAGGCCCACGGGUGUACAGCUGUCUCUGUGCCUGGUAUGAAAAUUCCGAGAGAAAAGCUUUUUAAUCUGAAAAAAACGUUCAUUCCUAAAAGCCUUUUUAUUCCAAAAAGCAUCUUUUAUCCUGAAAAAGUCCAUUAAUCCCUAAAAAUUCUUUCAUCACGGCAAAAACGUGUGUCUUAAACAAAAGGUUUUUUCUGAAAAAAGUCUUUGUUCCGAAAAAUAGCCUUAUUAUGGAAAAAAAUUAAACUCUAAAAAAAAGUUCGUAUCCGAGGAAACACGUUUUCUCCGAAAAAACUUUUAUUCCGACAAAAUUCCUUUUCUUAUUCAGAAAAAAGGCGUACUUACAAAAAAACAUGUGUACUCGCCUUGCGCCAUCUCGCAGGCGUUUUUCUUCCCAGUCGUCCGUGACUCUCCAUUUGACAAUCGUGUAUCGUGAAGUCUCUGUUUUAAAUAGGUAGUCACAGCUUGCGCCGGCGUAGGUCCGAAUAUAAUCGAAGCGCAAAGCACUCGUUUCCGGUCGCCGAGUUCGGAACGAAGGGAAAAAAGCAAGAAGCUGUCUUGUCGCCGGAGAUCUUUUCAAACACACAAGAGAUCUCACGAAAACUCAAGAAGAAAGGAAAGAGCGUCGGUUCAGCGACCAUCAUUGCGAACUUGUUUAUGGUUCACUCCUACAGCUUUAGUCAGGCUCCGGGGGACUGAAGAUUUUUGGUGUGUGUUUGCAGGCGCUCUUUCGGAUUGAAGCUCGUCUGUAAAAAGACACAAAAUCUUUCGUCGUGGUGCUAGAACGGCACAUGGUCCACCUUGUUUUUCUGGCUGAAAAUCGGGGACAGAGACAAGUUUUCUGCUCGAUGGGUGACAGAAUCAGAUAACUCGCAGGGGGAAGAGUGCCUCUGAACUGAAAGGUUGCUUUCGCUUGAUCGUUCUCGAAGACCUCCUCCCGCGCUGCAGGAGUGCGUCGGAUACGCGCGUUCUCCUGUCCGCAACGGCAGUCUGCCAGUUCUUUCCAGAAAAUGGCUUCUGAAAUUCCUUUCAGUCUUUUUCGUCCUUUUUACUGGAGUAUCGGCC
This 1205-nucleotide long non-coding RNA is filed under the name Toxoplasma gondii VEG. The record is from RNAcentral. Lineage: Eukaryota; Apicomplexa; Conoidasida; Eucoccidiorida; Sarcocystidae.